GCCGGGGUGGCGGAAUGGCAGACGCAGAGGACUUAAAAUCCUUGGGGCCCACAAGCCCAUGCGGGUUCGAGUCCCGCCCCCGGCA
This 85-nucleotide transfer RNA is filed under the name Candidatus Parcubacteria bacterium. RNAcentral's name for it is "tRNA-Leu". It matches the Rfam family "tRNA". From Rfam's summary of the family: Transfer RNA (tRNA) molecules are approximately 80 nucleotides in length. Their secondary structure includes four short double-helical elements and three loops (D, anti-codon, and T loops). Lineage: Bacteria; Candidatus Parcubacteria. The record is from RNAcentral.